GCUUUUUCUAUCGUUUAAACACUUUUAUUAUUCCUUUAAAAAAAAAUAUAAUACGUAAAAUAUUGAAUAAAGUAGAAAUAUGCGUUUUAUAUUUUUUAUCAAUUCAUAGGGUAGGUAAAGAGAGAUAUGAAGAUAUAUAUGGUUUUUUUUUAAUAAUAUGUAUAUUAUAUAUUUUAAAAUGUUUAAUAACCAUUUUUCUUUUUAAUAAAAAAAAAAAAUUAGCUAACAAUAAUAUAAUAAAAAAUAAAGAAACAGAAAAUAUAUAUAUAGAAAAUUUAUUAAAGCGUAUUUUAUAUAUGGUUGAAAGAAAGAAAAUAAAAACUGAAAAUAAUAAUGAUAUUAGUGAUAAUAUUAAUGAUAGAAUAACAAAUGAAAACAUAUUACAAGCAAUAUUAGAAAAAACAGAUGACAUUUUAAUGAAUAAUAAUAUAAUAAAUAAAGAAAAUAAAACAAUCUACACGGAUAUUAUAACUAAUAUAAACAACAUAGGUAUAUUUACUUAUGUUUCUACACAAGCAUUAAAAAAUAUUAAUCGAAAAUCAGAUAUUAUACUAAACGAACUUGUUAGUGGAGGAACCGCUACAGGUAUAGCACCAGAAAUAGGAAAUGGAGAUGGAGAUGAACAGGGGGAAGGGGAAGGAAUAGGAGCAGGAGUAAGUUGUACUAUUGAAAAUACACAAUUAGGCGAAUUAAUAGAUGACACAGAUAUUGGUAAUAUAAAUAUGGAGCACAUAAGUCUAGGAUAUAAUUCAGGUUCUAUGGAUGAGCACCAUCCUAUCCCUAUCAAUGGAUAUGCUGGUAUAAAUACUAUGAAUAUGGGUCAUGCUAAUAUGAGUCGUGAUAGCUUAGGAUCUAUGAAUCUUAGUUGUUUAGAUAUAAGUAAUAAUAUAGGUAUGAAUAACAAAUUGAAAUUAAUGAAGCGAUUUACAAGCGAGUAUAAUAAUAUGAAUCUGGAAAAUUUUAAAAAUAGUUUUAUUCAUACGGAUAUGUAUAAUUUUAAUGAUGCUGGUGUUGGUGCUGGUGCUGGUGUUGGUGUCGGUGCUGGUGCUGGAUCGGGCACCGAUACUGAAAGUCCGAAUGUGCUACCGAAUUAUAAUUUGGAUUAUACUAAAAAUAUCCCAAACGAAAGUAAAAACAAAUAUUUGGUAAAAAAUAAUGAAUACCCUUUUGGUUAUGAUAUUAGUGAUACGAAUAAAGAUGACGACAAUUUAGAUACACCUAGUGAUAUUAUUCAUAAUGUUAAUAUUAGAAAUAAUAGUGCUGAUAAAAAUAGUAUAGGAAAUAAAAAUAUUAAUAUGGGUAUGGUUGGAAGCGUUUCAAUUAAUAGUAAUAACAAUAACAAUAAUACUUCUAAUAACACUGCUACUGCUACAGCUACAGCUACUAGUACAAGUACUAUACCACAGGAUGUAAUGUUAAAUGGAACUAAAAAGUUUGUAACUGAUGUUACUGCAAAUAUUGUUACUACAAACGUUGUUACUACAAACGUUGUUUCUCCAAAUAAUGUUUCUCCGAAUGUUGCCAUCGGGGGAACACAUAAAGCUGCUACUGCUGUUGCUAGAAAAACUAUUACCAACAGUUCAAGCACAUAUCGUAAUCUCACUUCUUCUAACAAUAUGAACAUAAGUAAUUCAAAAUUGUAUUUGAAUAAUAUUAUAGAUGGUCAAGUAAGUUAAUAAAAACU
Molecule: long non-coding RNA, 1684 nt
Filed under: Piliocolobus tephrosceles (Ugandan red Colobus)
Lineage: Eukaryota; Metazoa; Chordata; Mammalia; Primates; Cercopithecidae
Description: lncRNA (ENSPTEG00000014156.1)
Source: RNAcentral